GACGCACUUUCUGCUGGUGGGAGGAGAACUAGGGACCGGAGCCCACUGGUGACGUUUCUUUCACGUGAUCAGAAGCCGAAGUGUGCAGAAAUCCCUCUCCUCCAGGUACUAGCUCCCUAUUUCCGUGGAGAAAGAUUUCAGACCGAGGGACAGAGGGUAGCUGUCCUAUAGCCCUGCAGGUCUUCAGGUCUGUGGUUGUAGGCAUCAACCCAGACAAGAAAAGGAAAGACCUGCAGGACCAGUGCAGGA
This 249-nucleotide long non-coding RNA is filed under the name Suricata suricatta (meerkat). Its description in RNAcentral is "lncRNA (ENSSSUG00005014339.1)". The record is from RNAcentral. Lineage: Eukaryota; Metazoa; Chordata; Mammalia; Carnivora; Herpestidae.